AGAGUUUGAUCAUGGCUCAGGACGAACGCUGGCGGCGUGCUUAACACAUGCAAGUCGAACGGAAAGGCCCUUCGGGGUACUCGAGUGGCGAACGGGUGAGUAACACGUGGGUGAUCUGCCCUGCACUUUGGGAUAAGCCUGGAAAACUGGGUCUAAUACCGAAUAGGACCACGCGCUUCAUGGUGUGUGGUGGAAAGCUUUUGCGGUGUGGGAUGGGCCCGCGGCCUAUCAGCUUGUUGGUGGGGUAAUGGCCUACCAAGGCGACGACGGGUAGCCGGCCUGAGAGGGUGACCGGCCACACUGGGACUGAGAUACGGCCCAGACUCCUACGGGAGGCAGCAGUGGGGAAUAUUGCACAAUGGGCGCAAGCCUGAUGCAGCGACGCCGCGUGAGGGAUGACGGCCUUCGGGUUGUAAACCUCUUUCACCAGGGACGAAGCGUAAGUGACGGUACCUGGAGAAGAAGCACCGGCCAACUACGUGCCAGCAGCCGCGGUAAUACGUAGGGUGCGAGCGUUGUCCGGAAUUACUGGGCGUAAAGAGCUCGUAGGUGGUUUGUCGCGUUGUUCGUGAAAACUCACAGCUUAACUGUGGGCGUGCGGGCGAUACGGGCAGACUAGAGUACUGCAGGGGAGACUGGAAUUCCUGGUGUAGCGGUGGAAUGCGCAGAUAUCAGGAGGAACACCGGUGGCGAAGGCGGGUCUCUGGGCAGUAACUGACGCUGAGGAGCGAAAGCGUGGGGAGCGAACAGGAUUAGAUACCCUGGUAGUCCAA
This 773-nucleotide ribosomal RNA is filed under the name uncultured bacterium. RNAcentral's name for it is "bacterial SSU rRNA". It matches the Rfam family "Bacterial small subunit ribosomal RNA", at positions 8 to 798 of the family's 1533-position model. The record is from RNAcentral.